AGUAACUCUACCGCUGAGCUAACACUGAUGUGAAUGCAUGUGGCGUUGUACAUUAUAUUGAGACGGAGCGAGGCGCCAGAACUGUAUCGCACGCAUGAUAGUGGUAAAUUUAUUCAUCGCACAGACCAGUUUUUUCGUAGCACGUGCGACAUAUAUUGUCGCAUUGUACAGCCCUGUAAAGUUAAUUCACAACAGAACAG
Long non-coding RNA from Sinocyclocheilus grahami, 200 nucleotides. RefSeq lists it as uncharacterized. Lineage: Eukaryota; Metazoa; Chordata; Actinopteri; Cypriniformes; Cyprinidae. The record is from RefSeq and is a predicted model, not a curated record. The transcript has 3 exons.